UACGUAGGGGGCAAGCGUUAUCCGGAUUUACUGGGUGUAAAGGGAGCGUAGACGGAUGGACAAGUCUGAUGUGAAAGGCUGGGGCUCAACCCCGGGACUGCAUUGGAAACUGCCCGUCUUGAGUGCCGGAGAGGUAAGCGGAAUUCCUAGUGUAGCGGUGAAAUGCGUAGAUAUUAGGAGGAACACCAGUGGCGAAGGCGGUUUACUGGACGGUAACUGACGUUGAGGCUCGAAAGCGUGGGGAGCAAACAGG
RNAcentral lists this ribosomal RNA (253 nucleotides) under Blautia luti. RNAcentral describes it as "partial 16S ribosomal RNA". It matches the Rfam family "Bacterial small subunit ribosomal RNA", at positions 524 to 776 of the family's 1533-position model. The record is from RNAcentral. Lineage: Bacteria; Bacillati; Bacillota; Clostridia; Lachnospirales; Lachnospiraceae.